GGGCGACAGUGGUACAGUGGUAGAGAAGUCGUUUAGUAAUCAGAAGGUUGCUAGUUCGAUUCCCUGUCGAAGCGUCCUUGAGCAAGGCACUGAACCCCUAAUUGCUCCUGAUGUGCAGUGUGCCAUCAGUGUAAAUGUAAAAUGUGUAUACAUUGUAAGUCGCACAUAUGUAAGUCGCUUUGGAUAAAAGCGUCUGCUAAAUGACUAAAUGUAAAUGAUAGUGGACAGAGCUAGGUGUCCGUAUAUGUAAUAUGUGAUUAUAGGUUAUGAGUGGACAGAGCUACGUGUCUGUAUAUGUAAUAUGUGAUUAUAGGUUAUGAGUGGACAGAGCUACGUGUCCGUAUAUGUAAUAUGUGAUUAUAGGUUAUGAGUGGACAGAGCUAGGUGUCUGUAUAUGUAAUAUGUGAUUAUAGGUUAUGGUGAUGAGGAACAAUGUUAUCACAGCCAUCAGCAUUUACAGGUAAAGCUUUUACUAGAGAAGAGAACCGAGACAGGUUAGAAACAGAAUAUCAGAAAAUCAAUCAUAC
Clupea harengus (Atlantic herring) is the source of this 527-nucleotide long non-coding RNA. NCBI's taxonomy places the organism in Eukaryota, Metazoa, Chordata, Actinopteri, Clupeiformes, Clupeidae. The record is from Ensembl.